GAUGAACGCUGGCGGCGUGCCUAAUACAUGCAAGUCGAGCGAACGGACGAGAAGCUUGCUUUUCUGAUGUUAGCGGCGGACGGGUGAGUAACACGUGGAUAACCUACCUAUAAGACUGGGAUAACUUCGGGAAACCGGAGCUAAUACCGGAUAAUAUUUUGAACCGCAUGGUUCAAAAGUGAAAGACGGUCUUGCUGUCACUUAUAGAUGGAUCCGCGCUGCAUUAGCUAGUUGGUAAGGUAACGGCUUACCAAGGCAACGAUGCAUAGCCGACCUGAGAGGGUGGUCGGCCACACUGGAACUGAGACACGGUCCAGACUCCUACGGGAGGCAGCAGUAGGGAAGCUUCCGCAAUGGGCGAAAGCCUGACGGAGCAGCGCCGCGUGAGUGAUGAAGGUCUUCGGAUCGUAAAACUCUGUUAUUAGGGAAGAACAUAUGUGUAAGUAACUGUGCACAUCUUGACGGUACCUAAUCAGAAAGCCACGGCUAACUACGUG
Molecule: ribosomal RNA, 497 nt
Filed under: uncultured bacterium
Lineage: Bacteria
Description: partial 16S ribosomal RNA
Rfam family: Bacterial small subunit ribosomal RNA
Source: RNAcentral